GCCCGGGUGGACAAACUGGCAAAGUCAGCGGCCUUAAAAGCCGUCGCUCGCAAGAGCCCUGCGGGUUCGAGUCCCGCUCCGGGUA
RNAcentral lists this transfer RNA (85 nucleotides) under Pseudonocardiales bacterium. RNAcentral describes it as "tRNA-Leu". It matches the Rfam family "tRNA". From Rfam's summary of the family: Transfer RNA (tRNA) molecules are approximately 80 nucleotides in length. Their secondary structure includes four short double-helical elements and three loops (D, anti-codon, and T loops). The record is from RNAcentral. Lineage: Bacteria; Bacillati; Actinomycetota; Actinomycetes; Pseudonocardiales.